AAUCCAGACUCCUACGGGAGGCAGCAGUGGGGGAUAUUGCACAAUGGGGGAAACCCUGAUGCAGCGACGCCGCGUGAGUGAAGAAGUAUUUCGGUCUGUAAAGCUCUAUCAGCAGGGAAGAUAAUGACGGUACCUGACUAAGAAGCCUCGGCUAACUACGUGCCAGCAGCCGCGGUAAUACGUAGGGGGCAAGCGUUAUCCGGAUUUACUGGGUGUAAAGGGAGCGUAGGUGGCAGGGCAAGUCAGAUGUGAAAACCCGGGGCUCAACCCCGGGAGUGCAUUUGAAACUGUCCAGCUGGAGUGCAGGAGAGGUAAGCGGAAUUCCUAGUGUAGCGGUGAAAUGCAUAGAUAUUAGGAGGAACACCGGCGGCGAAGGCGGCCUGCUGGACCGUAACUGACGUUGAGGCUCGAAAGCGUGGGGAGCAAACAGGAUUAGAUACCCGGGUAA
RNAcentral lists this ribosomal RNA (448 nucleotides) under uncultured bacterium. RNAcentral describes it as "partial 16S ribosomal RNA". It matches the Rfam family "Bacterial small subunit ribosomal RNA", at positions 328 to 793 of the family's 1533-position model. The record is from RNAcentral.